This 745-nucleotide ribosomal RNA is filed under the name uncultured bacterium. Its description in RNAcentral is "bacterial SSU rRNA". It matches the Rfam family "Bacterial small subunit ribosomal RNA", at positions 33 to 773 of the family's 1533-position model. The record is from RNAcentral.
ACGCUGGCGGCAGGCCUAACACAUGCAAGUCGAGCGGUAGAGAGAAGCUUGCUUCUCUUGAGAGCGGCGGACGGGUGAGUAAUGCCUAGGAAUCUGCCUGGUAGUGGGGGAUAACGUUCGGAAACGGACGCUAAUACCGCAUACGUCCUACGGGAGAAAGCAGGGGACCUUCGGGCCUUGCGCUAUCAGAUGAGCCUAGGUCGGAUUAGCUAGUUGGUGGGGUAAUGGCUCACCAAGGCGACGAUCCGUAACUGGUCUGAGAGGAUGAUCAGUCACACUGGAACUGAGACACGGUCCAGACUCCUACGGGAGGCAGCAGUGGGGAAUAUUGGACAAUGGGCGAAAGCCUGAUCCAGCCAUGCCGCGUGUGUGAAGAAGGUCUUCGGAUUGUAAAGCACUUUAAGUUGGGAGGAAGGGCAGUAAAUUAAUACUUUGCUGUUUUGACGUUACCGACAGAAUAAGCACCGGCUAACUCUGUGCCAGCAGCCGCGGUAAUACAGAGGGUGCAAGCGUUAAUCGGAAUUACUGGGCGUAAAGCGCGCGUAGGUGGUUCGUUAAGUUGGAUGUGAAAUCCCCGGGCUCAACCUGGGAACUGCAUUCAAAACUGACGAGCUAGAGUAUGGUAGAGGGUGGUGGAAUUUCCUGUGUAGCGGUGAAAUGCGUAGAUAUAGGAAGGAACACCAGUGGCGAGGGCGACCACCUGGACUGAUACUGACACUGAGGUGCGAAAGCGUGGGGAGCAAAC